GUUAUAUGGUCAAGUGAAGAAGCGCAUACGGUGGAUGCCUUGGCAGUCAGAGGCGAUGAAAGACGUGGUAGCCUGCGAAAAGCUUCGGGGAGUCGGCAAACAGACUGUGAUCCGGAGAUGUCUGAAUGGGGGAACCCAGCCAUCACAAGAUGGUUAUCUUACGCUGAAUACAUAGGUGUAAGAGGCGAACCAGGGGAACUGAAACAUCUAAGUACCCUGAGGAAAAGAAAUCAACCGAGAUUCCCUUAGUAGUGGCGAGCGAACGGGGACCAGCCCUUAAGUUGUAUUGAGAUUAGCGGAACGCUCUGGAAAGUGCGGCCAUAGUGGGUGAUAGCCCUGUACGCGAAAAUCCCUUUGCAAUGAAAUCGAGUAGGACGGGGCACGAGAAACCUUGUCUGAAUAUGGGGGGACCAUCCUCCAAGGCUAAAUACUACUGACUGACCGAUAGUGAACCAGUACCGUGAGGGAAAGGCGAAAAGAACCGCGGAGAGCGGAGUGAAAUAGAUCCUGAAACCGUAUGCGUACAAGCAGUGGGAGCCCACUUUGUUGGGUGACUGCGUACCUUUUGUAUAAUGGGUCAGCGACUUAUUUUCAGUGGCGAGCUUAACCGAAUAGGGGAGGCGUAGCGAAAGCGAGUCUUAAUAGGGCGUCUAGUCGCUGGGAAUAGACCCGAAACCGGGCGAUCUAUCCAUGGGCAGGUUGAAGGUUGGGUAACACUAACUGGAGGACCGAACCGACUACCGUUGAAAAGUUAGCGGAUGACCUGUGGAUCGGAGUGAAAGGCUAAUCAAGCUCGGAGAUAGCUGGUUCUCCUCGAAAGCUAUUUAGGUAGCGCCUCAUGUAUCACUGUAGGGGGUAGAGCACUGUUUCGGCUAGGGGUCAUCCCGACUUACCAAACCGAUGCAAACUCCGAAUACCUACAAGUGCCGAGCAUGGGAGACACACGGCGGGUGCUAACGUCCGUCGUGAAAAGGGAAACAACCCAGACCGUCAGCUAAGGUCCCAAAGUCAUGGUUAAGUGGGAAACGAUGUGGGAAGGCUUAGACAGCUAGGAGGUUGGCUUAGAAGCAGCCACCCUUUAAAGAAAGCGUAAUAGCUCACUAGUCGAGUCGGCCUGCGCGGAAGAUGUAACGGGGCUCAAACCAUGCACCGAAGCUACGGGUAUCACCUUUGGUGAUGCGGUAGAGGAGCGUUCUGUAAGCCUGUGAAGGUGAGUUGAGAAGCUUGCUGGAGGUAUCAGAAGUGCGAAUGCUGACAUGAGUAACGACAAUGGGUGUGAAAAACACCCACGCCGAAAGACCAAGGUUUCCUGCGCAACGUUAAUCGACGCAGGGUUAGUCGGUCCCUAAGGCGAGGCUGAAAAGCGUAGUCGAUGGAAAACAGGUUAAUAUUCCUGUACUUCUGGUUAUUGCGAUGGAGGGACGGAGAAGGCUAGGCCAGCCUGGCGUUGGUAGUCCAGGUUUAAGGUGGUAGGCUGAGAUCUUAGGUAAAUCCGGGAUCUUAAGGCCGAGAGCUGAUGACGAGUGUUCUUUUAGAACAUGAAGUGGUUGAUGCCAUGCUUCCAAGAAAAGCUUCUAAGCUUCAGGUAACCAGGAACCGUACCCCAAACCGACACAGGUGGUUGGGUAGAGAAUACCAAGGCGCUUGAGAGAACUCGGGUGAAGGAACUAGGCAAAAUGGCACCGUAACUUCGGGAGAAGGUGCGCCGGUGAGGGUGAAGCAUUUACUGCGUAAGCCCACGCCGGUCGAAGAUACCAGGCCGCUGCGACUGUUUAUUAAAAACACAGCACUCUGCAAACACGAAAGUGGACGUAUAGGGUGUGACGCCUGCCCGGUGCCGGAAGGUUAAUUGAUGGGGUUAGCGCAAGCGAAGCUCUUGAUCGAAGCCCCGGUAAACGGCGGCCGUAACUAUAACGGUCCUAAGGUAGCGAAAUUCCUUGUCGGGUAAGUUCCGACCUGCACGAAUGGCGUAACGAUGGCGGCGCUGUCUCCACCCGAGACUCAGUGAAAUUGAAAUCGCUGUGAAGAUGCAGUGUAUCCGCGGCUAGACGGAAAGACCCCGUGAACCUUUACUAUAGCUUUGCACUGGACUUUGAAUUUGCUUGUGUAGGAUAGGUGGGAGGCUUUGAAGCGUGGACGCCAGUCUGCGUGGAGCCAACCUUGAAAUACCACCCUGGCAACUUUGAGGUUCUAACUCAGGUCCGUUAUCCGGAUCGAGGACAGUGUAUGGUGGGUAGUUUGACUGGGGCGGUCUCCUCCUAAAGAGUAACGGAGGAGUACGAAGGUGCGCUCAGACCGGUCGGAAAUCGGUCGUAGAGUAUAAAGGCAAAAGCGCGCUUGACUGCGAGACAGACACGUCGAGCAGGUACGAAAGUAGGUCUUAGUGAUCCGGUGGUUCUGUAUGGAAGGGCCAUCGCUCAACGGAUAAAAGGUACUCCGGGGAUAACAGGCUGAUACCGCCCAAGAGUUCAUAUCGACGGCGGUGUUUGGCACCUCGAUGUCGGCUCAUCACAUCCUGGGGCUGAAGCCGGUCCCAAGGGUAUGGCUGUUCGCCAUUUAAAGUGGUACGCGAGCUGGGUUUAGAACGUCGUGAGACAGUUCGGUCCCUAUCUGCCGUGGACGUUUGAGAUUUGAGAGGGGCUGCUCCUAGUACGAGAGGACCGGAGUGGACGAACCUCUGGUGUUCCGGUUGUCACGCCAGUGGCAUUGCCGGGUAGCUAUGUUCGGAAAAGAUAACCGCUGAAAGCAUCUAAGCGGGAAACUUGCCUCAAGAUGAGAUCUCACUGGAACCUAGAGUUCCCUGAAGGGCCGUCGAAGACUACGACGUUGAUAGGUUGGGUGUGUAAGCGCUGUGAGGCGUUGAGCUAACCAAUACUAAUUGCCCGUGAGGCUUGACCAUAUAACACCCAAGCAAUU
Molecule: ribosomal RNA, 2916 nt
Filed under: Pseudomonas syringae pv. actinidiae
Lineage: Bacteria; Pseudomonadati; Pseudomonadota; Gammaproteobacteria; Pseudomonadales; Pseudomonadaceae
Description: bacterial LSU rRNA
Rfam family: Bacterial large subunit ribosomal RNA
Source: RNAcentral